Nicotiana tabacum (common tobacco) is the source of this 726-nucleotide non-coding RNA. NCBI's taxonomy places the organism in Eukaryota, Viridiplantae, Streptophyta, Magnoliopsida, Solanales, Solanaceae. The record is from RefSeq and is a predicted model, not a curated record.
UUCUCAUCAGCUCUAUUCGUGUGCUUUUGUGCUCUCUGCAGGUAUACAGGUGUCAUCUAAGGAUGAGAUAUUACCCUUGUCCUUUGUUUCUCAGUAUGUUUCAGAGAGCGAUCUUUUAAUUUCUACUGGUAUUCUUCCUAUUUGCGUUCUCUCUCUCAAGGGUGUCUCUGCUCAAGCUAUAGCUUUUGCUUUCCACUGUGAAAUUGUCUAUUAUUUGUGAAGCAUUUUAGGGUGUGGAUUAACAAUGAAUACAACUCAUGAGCAGUAUACAAGAUACUGUUAAUGAACACAACUCAUGAGCAGUAUACACGGCAAGGAGUACAACUCCAAUAGGCUCUCUUAUGAGUGUUCCUUUUCCAGGAAGAGAUCAUACCAAUUGGCAAUAUCCAGAAGCAACCUCCGGUAAGAACAAUAAAAAUUUAUAUGUAAGAACAAUAAAAUUUAUAUGUAUUCCUCUGAAUUUUUAAUUGCUAGAAGCUGAACUCGCACUACCAAAUGAGAACUAGCAGUUCUGCUUCUUAGCCUGUUCAGAUUGCAAGCAGAUCUUUACAAGAACUACUACAUGGAGAUAAUUUUACGGCACUAAAUGUCAUGGAUCCACCCAGCUUAUAGUACCCAAGUAUAAUGCUACAAGAUUCUUCGACACAACUGUUUCCAGUUUAAUACUAUCUAUUUUUCACCAUCUAACUUAGCAUUACAGAUAAACAAAAUCAGUAAUAGUUUACC